This 497-nucleotide ribosomal RNA is filed under the name uncultured bacterium. Its description in RNAcentral is "partial 16S ribosomal RNA". It matches the Rfam family "Bacterial small subunit ribosomal RNA", at positions 28 to 507 of the family's 1533-position model. The record is from RNAcentral.
GAUGAACGCUGGCGACGUGCCUAAUACAUGCAAGUCGAGCGAACAGAUGAGGAGCUUGCUCCUCUGACGUUAGCGGCGGACGGGUGAGUAACACGUGGAUAACCUACCUAUAAGACUGGGAUAACUUCGGGAAACCGGAGCUAAUACCGGAUAAUAUAUUGAACCGCAUGGUUCAAUAGUGAAAGACGGUUUUGCUGUCACUUAUAGAUGGAUCCGCGCCGCAUUAGCUAGUUGGUAAGGUAACGGCUUACCAAGGCAACGAUGCGUAGCCGACCUGAGAGGGUGAUCGGCCACACUGGAACUGAGACACGGUCCAGACUCCUACGGGAGGCAGCAGUAGGGAAUCUUCCGCAAUGGGCGAAAGCCUGACGGAGCAACGCCGCGUGAGUGAUGAAGGUCUUCGGAUCGUAAAACUCUGUUAUUAGGGAAGAACAAAUGUGUAAGUAACUAUGCACGUCUUGACGGUACCCAAUCAGAAAGCCACGGCUAACUACGUG